CNNUCGGAUUUAUUGGGUUUAAGGGUCCGUAGGCGGACUGAUAAGUCAGUGGUGAAAUCCGACAGCUUAACUGUCGAACUGCCAUUGAUACUGUUAGUCUUGAGUAAGGUUGAAGUGGCUGGAAUAAGUAGUGUAGCGGUGAAAUGCAUAGAUAUUACUUAGAACACCAAUUGCGAAGGCAGGUCACUAAGUCUUAACUGACGCUGAUGGACGAAAGCGUGGGGAGCGAACAGGAUUAGAUACCCUGGUAGUCCACGCCGUAAACGAUGAUUACUCGUUUUUGGGUUUUAUGAUUCAGAGACUAAGCGAAAGUGAUAAGUAAUCCACCUGGGGAGUACGUUCGCAAGAAUGAAACUCAAAGGAAUUGACGGGGGCCCGCACAAGCGGUGGAGCAUGUGGUUUAAUUCGAUGAUACGCGAGGAACCUUACCAAGACUUAAAUGGGAAAUGACAGAUUUAGAAAUAGAUCCUUCUUCGGACAUUUUUCAAGGUGCUGCAUGGUUGUCGUCAGCUCGUGCCGUGAGGUGUUAGGUUAAGUCCUGCAACGAGCGCAACCCCUGUCACUAGUUGCUAACAUUAAGUUGAGGACUCUAGUGAGACUGCCUACGCAAGUAGAGAGGAAGGUGGGGAUGACGUCAAAUCAUCACGGCCCUUACGUCUUGGGCCACACACGUGCUACAAUGGCCGGUACAGAGGGCAGCUACCUAGUGAUAGGAUGCAAAUCUCGAAAGCCGGUCUCAGUUCGGAUUGGAGUCUGCAACUCGACUCUAUGAAGCUGGAAUCGCUAGUAAUCGCGCAUCAGCCAUGGCGCGGUGAAUACGUUCCCGGGCCCUUGUACACACCGCCCGUCAAGCCAUGGAAGCUGGGGGUACCUGAAGUCGGUGACCGUAAAAGAGCUGCCUAGGGUAAACUAGUACUAGGGCUAGUCGUAGAGGGAGGCCCCC
RNAcentral lists this ribosomal RNA (943 nucleotides) under Bacteroidetes bacterium PMR-D. Its description in RNAcentral is "bacterial SSU rRNA". It matches the Rfam family "Bacterial small subunit ribosomal RNA", at positions 542 to 1504 of the family's 1533-position model. Lineage: Bacteria; Pseudomonadati; Bacteroidota. The record is from RNAcentral.